GCCCGAAGGCGAGAUAAGUNGUAACAAAGUAGGUGUAACGGAAGUUGCACCUGU
This 54-nucleotide ribosomal RNA is filed under the name Allolobophora robusta. RNAcentral describes it as "partial 12S ribosomal RNA". The record is from RNAcentral. Lineage: Eukaryota; Metazoa; Annelida; Clitellata; Crassiclitellata; Lumbricidae.